RNAcentral lists this ribosomal RNA (478 nucleotides) under uncultured bacterium. RNAcentral describes it as "partial 16S ribosomal RNA". It matches the Rfam family "Bacterial small subunit ribosomal RNA", at positions 28 to 523 of the family's 1533-position model. The record is from RNAcentral.
GACGAACGCUGGCGGCGUGCUUAACACAUGCAAGUCGAACGGUAAGGCCCUUCGGGGUACACGAGUGGCGAACGGGUGAGUAACACGUGGGUGAUCUGCCCCGCACUUCGGGAUAAGCCUGGGAAACUGGGUCUAAUACCGGAUAGGACUCCGGACUGCAUGGUCUGGGGUGGAAAGCUUUUGCGGUGUGGGAUGGGCCCGCGGCCUAUCAGCUUGUUGGGGGGGUGAUGGCCUACCAAGGCGACGACGGGUAGCCGGCCUGAGAGGGUGACCGGCCACACUGGGACUGGGCUACGGCCCAGACUCCUACGGGAGGCAGCAGUGGGGAAUAUUGCACAAUGGGCGCAAGCCUGAUGCAGCGACGCCGCGUGAGGGAUGACGGCCUUCGGGUUGUAAACCUCUUUCAGCAUCGACGAAGCGAAAGUGACGGUAGGUGCAGAAGAAGGACCGGCCAACCACGUGCCAGCCGCCGCAGUAA